UGGCUGGUGCCAGUAAAGGGUAAAAGGGAAACAGGUGAAAAUCCUGUGCGAUCUCGUCACUGUAAGUCCGGAGUCCUGACCAUGUUUUUAUACAGUCACUGCUUCUUUUUGAAGUGGGAAGGCGGUUGGGGGCGAUGAGGGACAAGUCAGGAAACCUGCCAGCUGUG
Molecule: non-coding RNA, 167 nt
Filed under: chicken gut metagenome
Source: RNAcentral